CCUACGGGUGGCAGCAGUGGGGAAUAUUGGACAAUGGGCGAAAGCCUGAUCCAGCGACGCCGCGUGAGUGAAGAAGUAUUUCGGUAUGUAAAGCUCUAUCAGCAGGGAAGAAAAUGACGGUACUUGACUAAGAAGCCCCGGCUAAAUACGUGCCAGCAGCCGCGGGAAUACGUAGGGGGCAAGCGUUAUCCGGAUUUACUGGGUGUAAAGGGAGCGUAGACGGCAGCGCAAGUCUGGAGUGAAAUGCCCGGGCCCAACCCCGGAACUGCUUUGGAAACUGUGAAGCUGGAGUGCAGGAGAGGUAGGCGGAAUUCCUGGUGUAGCGGUGAAAUGCGUAGAUAUCAGGAGGAACACCGGCGGCGAAGGCGGCUUACUGGACUGUAACUGACGUUGAGGCUCGAAGGCGUGGGGAGCAAACAGGAUUAGAUACCCCUGUAGUC
RNAcentral lists this ribosomal RNA (440 nucleotides) under uncultured bacterium. RNAcentral's name for it is "partial 16S ribosomal RNA". It matches the Rfam family "Bacterial small subunit ribosomal RNA", at positions 338 to 795 of the family's 1533-position model. The record is from RNAcentral.